RNAcentral lists this small RNA (107 nucleotides) under Marmota monax (woodchuck). Lineage: Eukaryota; Metazoa; Chordata; Mammalia; Rodentia; Sciuridae. The record is from RNAcentral.
GCCGGGCGCGGUGGUGCACGCCUGUAAUUCCAGCUAUUCAGGAGGCUGAAGCAGGAGGAUCACAAUUUCGAGGCCAUCCUAGGCAAUUGAGUGAGACCCAGUUUCAA